Molecule: ribosomal RNA, 2380 nt
Filed under: Klebsiella pneumoniae
Lineage: Bacteria; Pseudomonadati; Pseudomonadota; Gammaproteobacteria; Enterobacterales; Enterobacteriaceae
Description: partial 23S ribosomal RNA
Rfam family: Bacterial large subunit ribosomal RNA
Source: RNAcentral
CGUACAAGCAGUGGGAGCACCUUCGGGUGUGACUGCGUACCUUUUGUAUAAUGGGUCAGCGACUUAUAUUCUGUAGCAAGGUUAACCGUAUAGGGGAGCCGCAGGGAAACCGAGUCUUAACUGGGCGUUAAGUUGCAGGGUAUAGACCCGAAACCCGGUGAUCUAGCCAUGGGCAGGUUGAAGGUUGGGUAACACUAACUGGAGGACCGAACCGACUAAUGUUGAAAAAUUAGCGGAUGACUUGUGGCUGGGGGUGAAAGGCCAAUCAAACCGGGAGAUAGCUGGUUCUCCCCGAAAGCUAUUUAGGUAGCGCCUCGUGAACUCAUCUUCGGGGGUAGAGCACUGUUUCGGCUAGGGGGUCAUCCCGACUUACCAACCCGAUGCAAACUACGAAUACCGAAGAAUGUUAUCACGGGAGACACACGGCGGGUGCUAACGUCCGUCGUGAAGAGGGAAACAACCCAGACCGCCAGCUAAGGUCCCAAAGUCAUGGUUAAGUGGGAAACGAUGUGGGAAGGCACAGACAGCCAGGAUGUUGGCUUAGAAGCAGCCAUCAUUUAAAGAAAGCGUAAUAGCUCACUGGUCGAGUCGGCCUGCGCGGAAGAUGUAACGGGGCUAAACCAUGCACCGAAGCUGCGGCAGCGACACUAUGUGUUGUUGGGUAGGGGAGCGUUCUGUAAGCCUGCGAAGGUGUGCUGUGAGGCAUGCUGGAGGUAUCAGAAGUGCGAAUGCUGACAUAAGUAACGAUAAAGCGGGUGAAAAGCCCGCUCGCCGGAAGACCAAGGGUUCCUGUCCAACGUUAAUCGGGGCAGGGUGAGUCGACCCCUAAGGCGAGGCCGAAAGGCGUAGUCGAUGGGAAACAGGUUAAUAUUCCUGUACUUGGUGUUACUGCGAAGGGGGGACGGAGAAGGCUAUGUUAGCCGGGCGACGGUUGUCCCGGUUUAAGCAUGUAGGCUGGUUAUCCAGGCAAAUCCGGAUAAUCAAGGCUGAGGUGUGAUGACGAGGCACUACGGUGCUGAAGUAACAAAUGCCCUGCUUCCAGGAAAAGCCUCUAAGCAUCAGGUAACAUCAAAUCGUACCCCAAACCGACACAGGUGGUCAGGUAGAGAAUACCAAGGCGCUUGAGAGAACUCGGGUGAAGGAACUAGGCAAAAUGGUGCCGUAACUUCGGGAGAAGGCACGCUGGUGUGUAGGUGAAGUCCCUGCGGAUGGAGCUGAGACCAGUCGAAGAUACCAGCUGGCUGCAACUGUUUAUUAAAAACACAGCACUGUGCAAACACGAAAGUGGACGUAUACGGUGUGACGCCUGCCCGGUGCCGGAAGGUUAAUUGAUGGGGUUAUCCGUAAGGAGAAGCUCUUGAUCGAAGCCCCGGUAAACGGCGGCCGUAACUAUAACGGUCCUAAGGUAGCGAAAUUCCUUGUCGGGUAAGUUCCGACCUGCACGAAUGGCGUAAUGAUGGCCAGGCUGUCUCCACCCGAGACUCAGUGAAAUUGAACUCGCUGUGAAGAUGCAGUGUACCCGCGGCAAGACGGAAAGACCCCGUGAACCUUUACUAUAGCUUGACACUGAACAUUGAGCCUUGAUGUGUAGGAUAGGUGGGAGGCUUUGAAGCGUGGACGCCAGUCUGCGUGGAGCCAACCUUGAAAUACCACCCUUUAAUGUUUGAUGUUCUAACGUUGGCCCCUGACCGGGGUUGCGGACAGUGUCUGGUGGGUAGUUUGACUGGGGCGGUCUCCUCCCAAAGCGUAACGGAGGAGCACGAAGGUUAGCUAAUCCUGGUCGGACAUCAGGAGGUUAGUGCAAUGGCAUAAGCUAGCUUGACUGCGAGCGUGACGGCGCGAGCAGGUGCGAAAGCAGGUCAUAGUGAUCCGGUGGUUCUGAAUGGAAGGGCCAUCGCUCAACGGAUAAAAGGUACUCCGGGGAUAACAGGCUGAUACCGCCCAAGAGUUCAUAUCGACGGCGGUGUUUGGCACCUCGAUGUCGGCUCAUCACAUCCUGGGGCUGAAGUAGGUCCCAAGGGUAUGGCUGUUCGCCAUUUAAAGUGGUACGCGAGCUGGGUUUAGAACGUCGUGAGACAGUUCGGUCCCUAUCUGCCGUGGGCGCUGGAGAAUUGAGGGGGGCUGCUCCUAGUACGAGAGGACCGGAGUGGACGCAUCACUGGUGUUCGGGUUGUCAUGCCAAUGGCACUGCCCGGUAGCUAAAUGCGGAAGAGAUAAGUGCUGAAAGCAUCUAAGCACGAAACUUGCCCCGAGAUGAGUUCUCCCUGAGACUUUAAGUCUCCUGAAGGAACGUUGAAGACGACGACGUUGAUAGGCCGGGUGUGUAAGCGCAGCGAUGCGUUGAGCUAACCGGUACUAAUGAACCGUGAGGCUUAACCUU